Molecule: long non-coding RNA, 494 nt
Organism: Galeopterus variegatus (Sunda flying lemur)
Lineage: Eukaryota; Metazoa; Chordata; Mammalia; Dermoptera; Cynocephalidae
Exons: 4
Source: RefSeq, a predicted model, not a curated record
CUGGGGGAAGCCAAGCACCAUGGCGUGGAGACAAUAGAGCAGCCCAUGGAGAGGCCCAUGUGGGGAGGAUCUGAGACCUCUUGCCCACAAUCAGCACCAUGUACCAUGGAAAUCAAGGUGAUGCAAAGGGGCUGAACUUGCCACAGGUCUUCCCAACUUUCAGAAACUGGGAACAUAGGAGUUUCAUCAUCUCAGAAGUCUGCUGUGAAAGGGCUUUAGGUUCAAAUUGCAGAUCUGGGCUUGGAAGCACAGCUGACAUGGAAACCUGCCUGGGCUCACAGCAGAGUCACAGUGGGCUCCAGGAGACGGCGGGGCUUCCACCCUGUUUUCUCAGACACUGCACUGAAGUCUAGGACUGGCUGAGGCCAUCUUUUCCAUCUUCCAGUCUCCAAGAAGGAUAGUGUCUGACCCCUCUUAGAUAGGGAGGUUUUUACCCCUUCUUAAGUCAUCCCUCUACCCCAACCAUUUAUUGACUCCAAUGACAGCAACCUGUG